CAAAAAAGGUGGAGAGGAACGGAGAUGGUUCCGUGGACUGAGCCGGCGUACCUUCCUCUUCAGCUGCUGGAUCUCGGCCUGAGUCACUGCGUGCUUUAUUUGUAGCUGAACGGGUCAGAAAUUGCAAUUAUGGGCAUGGCUUGAAAAAAGUGUAACCGUGCGGAAAGGAACGAAAACUGUAUCAACA
Syngnathoides biaculeatus (alligator pipefish) is the source of this 187-nucleotide long non-coding RNA. RefSeq lists it as uncharacterized. The transcript is spliced from 2 exons. NCBI's taxonomy places the organism in Eukaryota, Metazoa, Chordata, Actinopteri, Syngnathiformes, Syngnathidae. The record is from RefSeq and is a predicted model, not a curated record.